Pieris napi is the source of this 663-nucleotide long non-coding RNA. RefSeq lists it as uncharacterized. NCBI's taxonomy places the organism in Eukaryota, Metazoa, Arthropoda, Insecta, Lepidoptera, Pieridae. The transcript is spliced from 4 exons. The record is from RefSeq and is a predicted model, not a curated record.
AAUAGCUUAUUUGGAACUUAUGUAGAAAUUAUCCAUACAUUGUGAAACAGACCCUUAAACUAUCAAUUGAUUGUCAAUAUAAAUGUAUAAAAAAUACAUUAUCUUAUCAGUAGAUAUAUUCUUGGUUCAUGAUAUCCUGAGUGUUUAAGGUACUCUUUAGGUAUACUCAUUAAAAAAAUAAAGUAUUUGAAGGUUUCAUAUCUAAUGUCACUUACAUGUUUAUUUUGUCAUUAAAAGUCACUGAAAUAUUGAAUUUCAUAAAAUUUUCUGUUUUUACACAAAAUGUUAACUAAAUAGAAGCCAAUUUAAGAAAUAUAUACCUGUAAUAAUGGGUAUUUGUACUUCAUUAUUUAAAACAAGUAUCAUCUUUGGAAGUGGGGUUUAUACAGGUGUAUAUGUAGCACAAACCUACCAGGAUUUUCUUUCUCUAUUUUGUAAGAGAACAGCACAAGAAUGUGAGAGAGCUCUGGAAAAAAAGAAAUGAUAGAAAAGGUGGAGUCCCCACAGGUUUUAUUUGAGAAAGCUCAGACUUUUAUUAAAGGAAAAAUUGAUGAGUUCAAUGGCAAAAAAGACUAAUGCAGUGUAAUGUAGGCUUGAAUUAAAUUGUAAAUACAGGGGUUGUAGUAUGAUUUUAUUUUAUAAUAAAUAAUACAUGAAGUUCUA